GAAACUCAAUGCAUUUAGACAUCUAGUCAAGAUGACCUGAAGUUCAAAGCGAGCAUCAGAAUGAGGGAAACGGUGUUAUAAGUGACAGGCGCUCAUGUAACAACUCCUUAUAUGCAAGGUAGGCCGAAGACCAUCUAAAAUAUGUCCAACCCUGAACCAGAUGGGUUACAGCAGCAGAAGGCCCACACUGGAUGCCUCUCCUGUUAGCUCAGGCUAUAAUUUACAUAAUUUGAAUCUAUGCCAUGAAGAACUGAAGCAGUUUAGAAAGCAAAGGGUGGUCCAAGGCAGUACUAACAAGGUGUACCUAAUAAAGUGGCGGACCUUGCAGGCCAGAUUGUGAAGCUCCACAGGCUACUUAAGGUCCUUCACUUCUUGCCCUUGUGUGCGACCCGCCCAUGUGUUUACCUGGCCGGCUCUAAAGCGCUCCGCUGUCUCCCCUCCUCUUUGCCUUCAAGCUAUGUGUGCUUCCAUUGCCCUCUGCCAGAUCGUCUUAGUCAUGUGCCAACCAUUUCAGCACUCUUUGCCUCGUGUUAGACUUCCCAUGUGCCCGUGUGUUUUGUUUGCCAAGUUGAACUGACUGUUCAUGUACUGAACUUUGCUUUGAUUGAGCAAAGACUGAGCCUAUGAACUUUUACCUGAUCUCCCAAGACGUGCAUGUAAGUCCCAUUCUGCAAUGCUUUGAUCAUUGCGAUCAAUGUUUUUUUUUCUCUUGCAUUCAAGAGAAAAAUAUUUUAGCCUUCUGCAGAAUCCUUACAUACCUCAGUAAAACUAAGUGAUCAAAAUCACUAAAUGAUAGCUAACUGAAAGUUGUGCCAUCUUGCAAAAAUUCUGUUAUAUUCUCGUAAAAGUGAGAGAAGGUACCAGACCAACAGAAGGGUAACAGUUAUAUAUAAGAUGUGGUUUUUCAAUGGUUGCUGCUGUGAGGGACAUUCUGUAAAUUCAACCUCCUAAAAAGUCCAAAAUGAAUUUCGUUUUUUAAUUGAAUGCAAAACUACAACCAUAAAAAAAAUAAUGAUAUUUUGUUUGGAUCAUUCUCUGUGUGAGUAGAAAAAGUGUCGGGGAGCCUCAUUUGAUAGACCCAAGUUCAAAUAGAGAAUAAAAAGAUGACUCCCAUCAUUAAGAAGAAUGGCAGGAGGGAUUUUUUUCUCCCCUAAUUUGACCAUGAGCCCAAGCACACUGCAAAAAUCAGCAGUAGUUGUUGGCUGACUUGAAUUGAAUAGGACACCCAUGGAGCAUUUUAGAGGGAGGCAGAGAAACAAAAACCUUGCAGCUGAGAGCUGUUGAAAGAAAUAAUCUGUGAAGACUGGAUUUGUGCAAGGCUAGCGUAAUCUGUGCUCAGGAGGAUCAAAUCAGUCAACAAAAAACACGACAUAUUAAAACAAAAUAAUAAUAAAAGAGUGCACUUAGGCAUGUAUUUUUUCAUCCAGCAUAUCAAAUCUAUUUGUUUUUACUUAUAAAAUUAAAAUCUCUUAAAAUAUGUUUGAGUCACUUCAUAUUUUUGU
Molecule: long non-coding RNA, 1502 nt
Organism: Oreochromis aureus
Lineage: Eukaryota; Metazoa; Chordata; Actinopteri; Cichliformes; Cichlidae
Source: Ensembl